RNAcentral lists this ribosomal RNA (425 nucleotides) under uncultured bacterium. RNAcentral's name for it is "bacterial SSU rRNA". It matches the Rfam family "Bacterial small subunit ribosomal RNA", at positions 354 to 796 of the family's 1533-position model. The record is from RNAcentral.
GUGGGGAAUAUUGGACAAUGGGCGCAAGCCUGAUCCAGCCAUGCCGCGUGAGUGAUGAAGGCCCUAGGGUUGUAAAGCUCUUUCACCGGAGAAGAUAAUGACGGUAUCCGGAGAAGAAGCCCCGGCUAACUUCGUGCCAGCAGCCGCGGUAAUACGAAGGGGGCUAGCGUUGUUCGGAAUUACUGGGCGUAAAGCGCACGUAGGCGGACAUUUAAGUCAGGGGUGAAAUCCCGGGGCUCAACCCCGGAACUGCCUUUGAAACUCCCAGUCUUGAGGUCGAGAGAGGUGAGUGGAAUUCCGAGUGUAGAGGUGAAAUUCGUAGAUAUUCGGAGGAACACCAGUGGCGAAGGCGGCUCACUGGCUCGAUACUGACGCUGAGGUGCGAAAGCGUGGGGAGCAAACAGGAUUAGAUACCCGAGUAGUCC